CCUACGGGUGGCAGCAGUGAGGAAUAUUGGUCAAUGGACGAGAGUCUGAACCAGCCAAGUAGCGUGAAGGAUGACUGCCCUAUGGGUUGUAAACUUCUUUUAUAAAGGAAUAAAACGAGGCACGUGUGCCUUUUUGCAUGUACUUUAUGAAAAAGGAUCGGCUAACUCCGUGCCAGCAGCCGCGGUAAUACGGAGGAUCCGAGGUUUAUCCGGGUUUAUUGGGUUUAAAGGGAGCGUAGGUGGGUUGUUAAGUCAGGUGGGAAAGUUCGCGGCUCAACCGUCAAAGUGCAAUUGAUACUGGCCGGCUUGAGUACAGGUGAGGUAGGCGGAAUUCGUGGUGUAGCGGUGAAAUGCAUAGAUAUCACGAAGAACCCCGAUUGCGAAGGCAGCUUACUAAACUGUGACUGACAUUGAUGCUCGAAAGUGUGGGUAUCAAACAGGAUUAGAUACCCUUGUAGUC
RNAcentral lists this ribosomal RNA (460 nucleotides) under uncultured bacterium. RNAcentral describes it as "partial 16S ribosomal RNA". It matches the Rfam family "Bacterial small subunit ribosomal RNA", at positions 338 to 795 of the family's 1533-position model. The record is from RNAcentral.